CUACGUGCCAGCAGCCGCGGUAAUACGUAGGUGGCAAGCGUUGUCCGGAAUUAUUGGGCGUAAAGCGCGCGCAGGCGGAUUGGUCAGUCUGUCUUAAAAGUUCGGGGCUUAACCCCGUGAUGGGAUGGAAACUGCCAAUCUAGAGUAUCGGAGAGGAAAGUGGAAUUCCUAGUGUAGCGGUGAAAUGCGUAGAUAUUAGGAAGAACACCAGUGGCGAAGGCGACUUUCUGGACGAAAACUGACGCUGAGGCGCGAAAGCCAGGGGAGCGAACGGGAUUAGAUACCCCGGUAGUCCUGGCCGUAAACGAUGGGUACUAGGUGUAGGAGGUAUCGACCCCUUCUGUGCCGGAGUUAACGUAAUAAGUACCCCGCCUGGGGAGUACGACCGCAAGGUUGAAACUCAAAGGAAUUGACGGGGGCCCGCACAAGCGGUGGAGUAUGUGGUUUAAUUCGACGCAACGCGAAGAACCUUACCAGGUCU
This 481-nucleotide ribosomal RNA is filed under the name uncultured bacterium. RNAcentral describes it as "bacterial SSU rRNA". It matches the Rfam family "Bacterial small subunit ribosomal RNA", at positions 501 to 981 of the family's 1533-position model. The record is from RNAcentral.